CCUACGGGAGGCAGCAGUGAGGAAUAUUGGUCAAUGGCCGAGAGGCUGAACCAGCCAAGUCGCGUGAGGGAAGACUGCCCUAUGGGUUGUAAACCUCUUUUGUCAGGGAGCAACGCCGGCUACGUGUAGCCGGACUGAGAGUCCCCGAAGAAAAAGCAUGGGCUAACUCCGUGCAAGCAGCGGCGGUAAUACGGAGGAUGCGAGCGUUAUCCGGAUUUAUUGGGUUUAAGGGGUGCGUAGGCGGAAUGCCAAGUCAGCGGUAAAAUCGCGGGGCUCAACCUCGCUCCGCCGUUGAAACUGGCGUUCUUGAGUGGGCGAGAAGUAUGCGGAAUGCGUGGUGUAGCGGUGAAAUGCAUAGAUAUCACGCAGAACUCCGAUUGCGAAGGCAGCAUACCGGCGCCCAACUGACGCUGAAGCACGAAGGCGUGGGUAUCGAACAGGAUUAGAUACCCUAGUAGUC
This 460-nucleotide ribosomal RNA is filed under the name uncultured bacterium. RNAcentral's name for it is "partial 16S ribosomal RNA". It matches the Rfam family "Bacterial small subunit ribosomal RNA", at positions 338 to 795 of the family's 1533-position model. The record is from RNAcentral.